RNAcentral lists this long non-coding RNA (1664 nucleotides) under Equus asinus (donkey). RNAcentral describes it as "lncRNA (ENSEASG00005038294.1)". The record is from RNAcentral. Lineage: Eukaryota; Metazoa; Chordata; Mammalia; Perissodactyla; Equidae.
GUGUAGGACUGGAUUUAUGGUUUGUUUAGGCAGAUCUGUGGAAAGUCCAAGGUAUUUCCCAAGGCUCUCUAACUUGGUGUGUCUCAACCUCCAAACCCUGUCUCCUCUGCUAAUCUUAACAGGGCUUAGUUGUAACUAUUUUAGGGAGGGUCAAGAGUAAGCCUUACCCUAGAGUGUGGUCUUUACUCCUAAAACAGAGUGUUUCUGGAGUAUCAGCUGAAUGCUCAGGGUGGUAAAGAGUUGUUAACAAGGUCUGAAUUCCAAUGUUGCCAGCACUGAUCUGUUCUCUUUUCCAUCCUGUAGCAUCUGUCAUCUUGGAAGCCUUGGGUGUUGGCUCUCAGCACAUGAGCACCCAACACUUAGCAAAUGACCUGAGGGGGACCCAAUAUGGAUUUCUCACAACUGGCCUCUAAACUGUUUUCUCCUCUUCUGUGCUCUGCUCUGCAGAUUCCAGUUGCUUCAGUUGCUGUAAUUCUGAUCUCUGCCUUCUCAGCUCAGUGUGAAGACCAUGCUCUCUUGGGACUCCAACUUGCUGUAGCACUGUCAGGCCAUUUCCCCAAUCCUCUCUCAGGGAAUCACAGAGUUGCACUGCUUCUGUCCAGUGUCCAUAAACAGAAAAAGUAAUGAUUCCUGGGAGCAGGGUUCCAAGAGGAAGGACCACGCGCCCCCUCGUGGCCGCCUCGGGGAUCCGUAGAGCCCGGCAACGGCGGGUACUCAAUUAGAAGAGAAUCAAGUAAAACGCGCUGGACUCUGGGCGAUGCUCGAGACUUUGAAAUUAAAAGUCGUGAGCGCUACAAGCCGAGCUAGCAGGAUGAGACAAAGCCAUGAGCUUCUCUUCUCCGUUGCAGUUUGGGAUCAGUUGCCCAAAUGUAAAAUAUCUGAGCCAAGACCGAAGGCAACCUCGGCGCGUUGCUGAUGAGAAAAUAAGUUUAUAAAGAGUUUGAUGGAUUUCCUCCCGCCCGGGGCUGAGCGACGCUAAAUCACGCGGCAGGCCUUUGAUCGUUCCUACUUCUGAGAUCAAGGAGGGGCCCAGGGUAGCGAAUAGAAAUUGCUGCGCGGAGGUAGCGUCGGGCUGAGGGAGCGACUCCGCCCUCCCCGGGCCUUUGAGAACAGCCUCUCCUAGUGCUCGUUUCCGCCCAGACGCAACUCCAGACUUCGAUGACCAGGAUAGAAGGAUCUUUUUCAAUCCAUCCCAAGAGGUCCCACCAAGACUUACCACGGAUCCACCUCCUUAGUCCUGUUACUGAAAUUUUCCAACUUUCUUCGACAAUCGUGGGUGCACAAGUGAAAGUUCACGCGGCGCCAAGCGCACUUUCUGCGCCUCAGCCCUGCGCGUUCUCCGCCUCUCCUCUGGGGCCUGUUGGGGAAAUAAGAAAUUGAGACAAAGGAACACGCACAUUAAUAAAGUAUUAACUAAGUUUACUAUUGAGAAAAAAAAUAUCCGAGUGCAUGUUUCAAGGUGGCCCGCAAAUGGCUACAAAAUUAUAGUGGGCUUUCAGUCAUAUUUAUACGGAAUUAAAUCUACAGUUGUCAUUGUCCUACUUUUAUUAAACAGUCAGCAUUACUCAAUUUGCUCCAGUAAUGAUAUUAAGGUUACUCUGACGUCCCAGGAGGGCUGGGACGGAGUCGGAGAGCCCCCGGGGUGACCGUUUGUUACGUUUCCU